Molecule: long non-coding RNA, 575 nt
Filed under: Homo sapiens (human)
Lineage: Eukaryota; Metazoa; Chordata; Mammalia; Primates; Hominidae
Description: MARCHF4 antisense RNA 1 (MARCHF4-AS1)
Source: RNAcentral
CCAGGCUCCUGUGCUUAAUCUUUCUUAACUGGAUCAUCAGUGCUUGGGAAAUGGGCAGGAUAACAAUUUAAAGAGAUAAUUGACUGCACAAAUCAGCUCAUCCCUUCAAGGGAUAAAUUUUCUCACACUUUCUGGUUCUGUAAUAGGUCAGGGCUGUUGGAGACAGAGCUGGCUUUUUCCCUGAUGUCCAGGGUCCUGAAAUGAAGUAUGGCUGGGCCACUUGACUGGGAGUGCAGUUACAGAAGCCAAUGCUGGUGCUGCAGAGAGCGCAAUGCCCAAAGUGGGUGCAUCUCUGAUGGUGUAAAGGAUGAAGAACAAGCUCUGAGGAAGGUUAGCAGGAAGCUCGAUUCAAGUCACCAGCAGAAAACAGAGUUGCCUUCAUGUCUUUACUCUCAAGGUUCUGCAGCUUGCCAUAGCGGAAACCUGAAUCUUGUUAAAUGGAGAUGGGCAAUACAGGCAAUGGAUCCUUCAGGUCUCCUUCUUCCAAGCAAAUGUAGCCCUGGGAACACUUUCAUUGAAAAGAAAGAAGAGACAAAGUGACUGGUGACUGGUGAUACAAAAUCAGAAUAGGGAUA